GUAUACUGUGCUUCUUCUUCUUUAGGCAUUCUGUUCUUGCCAUUACCAUUAAAACCAAACCAGUAAAAUCAUUCAAGAGAGAUCUUCGAAAUUAGGGUACCAUUAAAAAAAUAAAAUUGUUGUUUGAUUAUUCAUAAGAUUUAAUGGUGGUAUACCAAGAGUAUUACCAGCGUUUGUGUUCGAUUACAGUGCACAGAAGUUGAGAUUUAAGGAAGAAGAAGAAGAAGGAAACUUUUGAAUUGAAGCAAUAUGGGUCUUCAAAUGGAUGAGUUGUUAGGACAGUUGGAAAGAAUUUCAAAGUAAAGAUGAGGAAGUGACAUGAUGCGUUUGAAUGUAUGGGAUUUCUGUCGAGCUUGGAAGAAUGGUUUUGUGCUUGAUAAAGUGGUAGUUCUAGGAGAAGUUUUAGCUAAAAUUAAGCAGUGAAGAAUCAGGCAAAGUCUUGACUUGCUUCUCCAUCUAACAAUGUCGGAACAACGUCAAUUUCCAGCUUUUCUACCUGGAUUCCAUGGGAACGAAAAAAUCACAGGAGAAGAACGGAAGAGGAUGAAGAAGAAGAUGAGUCGAGUCAUGAGUUGACUAGGCUGUAAAAGGUCUACAAUAGCCUUGUCUCGUGUUAAAUUAACGGUCGUUAAUGUUCUUUUGAAAAAAAGGAACGGAAAAGUCUAACUCGGCCACUUUAUAAAAGGAUAAAAAAAAAAGGCCACUUUUUUAUGAUUUUUUUGCUAAGAAAAAAGAUUGCAUUGAAGAGCUUCCAGUAUUACAAGAGUUUUGCUAAGAAAUUAGGGAUGAUUUCCCACCACUCAUUACAAAUGUUAAAACGCCUGCAAUACUUAGCAGCUUUGUCUGCUAUAGAGUUGAGAUUAAUAACACCAACUGUCCUAACAACUCACUGCAAAUCCAUGAUUACAGUAGUUUAAUAACAGAUUACAGUCAUCCAUGAUUGUGCAACUAAACCAACAGAGACUACUGUUUUUAUUCUUCAAGUAAUCAAUCACUCUUUUUGCAUCACUGUAAAUACUGCUAGAAGACAGGUUCAUUCGGAAGUAAAAGGAGAAGAAAUUAUCAAUUUGGAGCAUAAAAGACGGAAUUGUCACUUCACAGGCGAGUGAUAUGAGAUCCAGUUUCUUAUAAUCGGCUUGUAGAUCAGCUGGUUUCGUGCCAUCCACAGAGGUUUCAUGCGCUCCAGGAGGUCCCAGGUUCAAGUCCCAGAUAAUCAAUAUUACAGAGUUUGACAUGGACGGUAGAAUUAGCUUGCCCCCUUGCGAAGACAUUAGCUACACUUUCCGCUUCGGCUCCCUCGGCUUUGGUCCUCAUGAGGCUCGCUCGUAGGCUAGCACGGCAACAUGUUCAACUUAUGUAGUAGUACGUUGGUUGGAGCUUAGCUUGUUAAGCUUCCAAUUAGUUAAGAAAAAAAAAAAAAAACUAAGUUUCAGCGGAGAAAUCAUUUUUCUUCUUCUGCCUAAACCGAUGGUGGCUCCACUGUUUAUCCAAGAAACAGUGAAUCUCAGAGAAUUGUGAUUGAGAGAACUGAGAAAGAUAUAGCAGGAGAAGAUGAUGCUGUAGUUAUUCCAUAUAGUGGAUUUAGGUUAAAAUCUGACUAAAAUUGUGUUGAGAUGGGGUCUGCUAUUGAUGUUGUUUAUUGAGAGAUUCAAAUGCGGGUUUUUGUGAUAAUAAAAUGGAAGAUGGGUUUGAUGGAUGUCGUUUAAGAAGUUAGAAGUUGGAGCUGUUGAAUGGUGAUGUUGCCAUGAAGAUUCAAAUCAAAUGAAAAGAAUCAUGGAAGAUUCUGUUUUUCCUUGAUAUCUGUUUUUCCUUGAAUAACUAUUUAGUUAGUAAGGAAUUGAAGUUAGGGUUUGAAGAAGAAUCAAAUUGAGCAAUGGGUUGUGAUGAUUGCUGCACAAAGUCAAGGAAAUGGGUCUGCUGUGAAGAUUGAGAUGUUGAAUUUGGGUUUUGACAGAAGAGAACUGAGUCUGGUUGUUGCGGUUCUGUAGGUUGUCCUGGUCAAGAAUUGGAGGGUGAAUUAGAAGAUGGCAGUGAGAAGCAGAUGUUGUAGCUGGCAUUGAAGCUCAUGUCCUGUCAGCUGAGUGAUCAAAGGGUUGCUCUCAUAUUCGAAUUGGUUGUUACUAUGAAUAAUGGUGGUAAUCUGGUUUGUGAGUUGCUGCUGCAAAUGGAAUUUGAUGGCUGAUGUUGGUGUUUUUCUCGAUGGGGUUGUUGAACUGGUAGAGAGAAGAUGGGAUACAGGAUAUUUCCAAGUAUUGACGGUGGUCACAGUCGAGAUUUGAUGGUGGUUAUUGCAGUUUGGCUAGUGUUCAUGGUACUGACUUGUAGAAGAAAUUGAAGCUGCUGCGAGCCAUGGUCUGAGGAGUGUUGCCAAGGGUAUGAUAAUUUGAGAAAUGGUGGAGGAGAUGCGAAUGUGUUUUGGUUGAAUUGCAGAUGGUGGUAGCUGGUGGUGUUGCUGAAUGAAAGAAAUGAGUUGUGCUGGUAAUGGAAUUACAGGGAUUUGAGUGUGCUGGUACUGGUACUGAAACUGCUAUGGGUAAUGGUUGGAACUUGAGGUGAGGUUGGAUUGAGCUGUGCUGUUGAGGUUUAUAGAAUGCAAUAAAAAGUGCAGAUGAGUUGGUGCUGCAGAUAGCUAUGGGUCAGAUGAGAAGAACAAGAAGCUAAUGGGAGAUAAGAACUGAAAUGGGUUUGUAGAUGGCUUGAGAUGGUGGUCUUGACCAUGAUGGUACUUGUGGCUGAAACUCAAGUUACAAAAUGGACUGAGAAAGUGUUGGUUCUAUGAUGCCUGCAAUGGACUAGGUGGUUAUGAAGCUGUAGAUGCCGUGAGUGCAGUGUUGUUGGUUGUGCUGUAAAGAGAAAAUGAGUUGUUGCUUCUGUGUGGUAUUAGAGCAACUGCAGUGGUGCGAUCAAAACCAAAGACUAAAGAGCAAAAAAACGACCAAAUUUUGGGUUUA
Papaver somniferum (opium poppy) is the source of this 2951-nucleotide long non-coding RNA. RefSeq lists it as uncharacterized. The transcript has 3 exons. Lineage: Eukaryota; Viridiplantae; Streptophyta; Magnoliopsida; Ranunculales; Papaveraceae. The record is from RefSeq and is a predicted model, not a curated record.